AGGCUGCUGACAGCCCCGGAUAGCUGGUGUUCCCGGCUCCUAAAAGCUCGCUAUUUUCCCAAUGGAAAUCUGGAGGAUACUGUUUUCUCAGGUGGGGCUUCUCCAACGUGGCAGGCUGUUCUACACGGGCUUGAUCUGCUCAAAAAAGGGUUGGUUUGGCGUGUGGGUAGUGGGCAAUCCAUCCGAAUUUGGAGGGAUAAAUGGAUAAUGCGUCGUGAAACAGCAGGACUGCCUAUCACACCUCACGGUCGGUGCCGGCUUAGGCGAGUUUCAGAACUUCUGGACGAUCAUGGUAACUGGAAGAUGAACACCUUGCAGCAAUAUUUCCUACCAGUGGAUGUGGAAGAGAUUGUCAAAAUCAAAGCUUGUCCUAGGUUGGGGAACGAUGUGCUUGCAUGGUCACCUGAACGGAGUGGUACCUUUACGAAGGUGCGUGUGUUUGCAUGGAGACUUAUUACUGAUUCUCUUGCCACAUGGGUUAAUAAGAAACGACGUAAUCUGGAAGUGUCUGACUUAUGCCCUUUGUGUGCAUCCGAGCCGGAGAACACAUUCCAUACAUUUUGCAGGUGUCCGCGAGCGGUGGCCCUCUGGCAGGCAAUGGCGUCCCAUUGGAAGCUACCGGACGUCCGGAAGAUAGCACACACAGGCCCCGAGUGGCUCCUGAAUACCAUUGGCGACAUCUCGGAGACGGAGCGGCUGCAUCUCCUCAUGACCUUAUGGCGCUGCUGGCAUGUGAGAAAUGAAAUUGUGCAUAACAAAAAGCCACCGGAUAUUGAAUCCUCAAGACGCUUCUUGUUGAGCUAUGUGAAGUCCUUGGUUGCUAUUCAGCAGCACCCCACAGCUGAUCAGGUCAAGGGGAAGAUGGUCACUGAUGCUGAUCAGUUCAGCAACCGAUCAUCGCGUGCGGACGCUGUAAAGGAGGCCCCCCUCCGAUGGACGCCACCGCCGCCAGGGUGGACAACUCUGAGUGUUGAUGGCUCCUACUGUGAGCAUGACCGUACGGCUGGUACGGGCAUGGUGCUACGUGACGAAGGUGGAGACCCUAUCUUCUCAUCAUGCCGUGAGCUGCGCUCUUGUCACUCUCCACUGGAAGCUGAGAUUGCAGCAUGUAGAGAAGGGAUUUCACUUGCGCUUCAGUGGACAACCUUGCCAAUUAUUGUUGAGACCGAUUGCCUUGAGGUAGUCCGCACCAUCCAAAGCACCAGCAGAGAUAGAUCAGUGCACGCCAUGAUGAUUGAAGAUACUAAGAUUCUGCUUCAUGAAGGAAGGGAGUUUAUUAUCAAGCAUAUUAAGAGGGAACAAAACAGUGUUAGCCACUUCUUGGCCAACUUUGGCAGAACAGAAAAACGCACUGCCGUUUGGCUUCGUUCUGGACCUAGAGAGGUGCCAGACCUUUGUAAGGCAGACAUGUUCGUUGCUUGA
Molecule: ribosomal RNA, 1422 nt
Filed under: Triticum aestivum (bread wheat)
Lineage: Eukaryota; Viridiplantae; Streptophyta; Magnoliopsida; Poales; Poaceae
Description: partial small subunit ribosomal RNA
Source: RNAcentral